CACUGCCGAGAAAAGCCUCUAGAUAGAAAAUAGGUGCCCGUACCGCAAACCGACACAGGUAGUCAAGAUGAGAAUUCUAAGGUGAGCGAGCGAACUCUCGUUAAGGAACUCGGCAAAAUGACCCCGUAACUUCGGGAGAAGGGGUGCUCUUUAGGGUUAACGCCCAGAAGAGCCGCAGUGAAUAGGCCCAAGCGACUGUUUAUCAAAAACACAGGUCUCUGCUAAACCGUAAGGUGAUGUAUAGGGGCUGACGCCUGCCCGGUGCUGGAAGGUUAAGAGGAGUGGUUAGCUUCUGCGAAGCUACGAAUCGAAGCCCCAGUAAACGGCGGCCGUAACUAUAACGGUCCUAAGGUAGCGAAAUUCCUUGUCGGGUAAGUUCCGACCCGCACGAAAGGCGUAACGAUUUGGGCACUGUCUCAACGAGAGACUCGGUGAAAUCAUAGUACCUGU
Molecule: ribosomal RNA, 450 nt
Filed under: Staphylococcus aureus
Lineage: Bacteria; Bacillati; Bacillota; Bacilli; Caryophanales; Staphylococcaceae
Description: partial 23S ribosomal RNA
Rfam family: Bacterial large subunit ribosomal RNA
Source: RNAcentral